Long non-coding RNA from Neofelis nebulosa (Clouded leopard), 4004 nucleotides. RefSeq lists it as uncharacterized. Lineage: Eukaryota; Metazoa; Chordata; Mammalia; Carnivora; Felidae. The record is from RefSeq and is a predicted model, not a curated record. The transcript has 4 exons.
GUCGUGCAUGCGUGCAUCGGCAUGCCGUGCAUGUGCGUGUGUGUGGAGUCCCUUUCUGGAAUGAUUGCUUGAGUACAGGGUGUGCGGGGUCAGAGGACUCCUCCAGCAUUUGUCCUUUGUGACCUGCUUACUGCGCUCUCAGUACCUCUGUGAGUAUGCUGCCUGGACUCCAAUCCCACCGUUCAGAUUCCGGCCUCUGUCAGAGGAUUUGCUUCUGUGCUGCGGGCGAGCUGGUCCUGUUGGGAGUGAACAGGACGACAUGGCAAACAGACUCUGCAGAACUGUAACUGCCAAAACAAUGUUGAAAAAGAGUAACAUCACAAUUUCAAAACUUAGUACAAAUCUACAGCAAACAAGAUGGUGCAGUACUAUUGUAAAGAUAGACAUCUAUGCAGUGGAACAGAAUUUGAGAGUCCAGAAAGAAGCCUUCACUUUUAUGAUCAAUCGGUUUUCUGCAGUGGUGCCAAGACCAUUCAAUGGGGGAAAAACAGGGUCUUCAACAAAUGGCAUUGGGACAGCAGGAUAUUCACAUGCGAAAGAAUGAAGUUGGACCCCUGCCUCAAUGCCAUAUACAAAAACUAACUCAAAAUGAAUCAACGACCCAAACAUAAGAGUUGAGACUAGAAGACUCUGAGAAGAAAACAACAGGGGAAGUCUUCAUGCCCUUGGAUGAGGUCAUGGGCUAUCUCUCCACUGAUUUAGGUCUUGCUUAAUUUCCUUGGCAGUGCUCUAUAGUUUGCAGUACAGGCCUUCACCUCUUUUGCCAGAUUUGUAUAGCUAUGCAUUUUGUACCUUUUAGGCUGUUAUAAAUGACAGUGUUUUUAAAUUUCAAGUACCAACUUUUUAUUGCUGGUGUAUAGAAAUAAAAUUGAUUUUUGUGUGUUGAUCUGAUAUCUUGCAACCUUGCUGAUCACACUUCUUGGUUCUAGUAGCUUUAGAGAAGAUUCCAUCAGAAUUUCUCUAUAGACAAUCAUGAUGGCAUCUGUGCAUAAAGGCAAUUUUACUUCUUUUCCAAUCUGGGUGCCUUUCAUUUCUUUUUGUAGCUUAAGGAACUAAUGAGAACCUCUGGUACCUCACAGAGGAGCAGUGAGACAUGCUCACUUUGUUCCUGGUCCUUUGAGGAGAGGGACCAGUUUUGACCAUUAAGGAAGAUGUUAGCAGUGGGUUCUGUGGGUGCCCUUUGACAGAUAGAAGAGCCCUCCUUCUAUUCCCCUUCUAUUCUUAAUAUGCUAAGACUUUCAAUGAGGAAUGGUUCUUGGAUGUUGUCGGUAUCUACUGAUACAGAAAAUACAGCGAUCAUGCAUGGGAGAGUCCAAACUCAGCAGUCGCCUCUGCUUUUUCUCAGAAAGAAGGAGAAGAGAAGAAAGAGCCCCGCCCAGUGAAAGAAGGCUGUCUUGGGCAACUGAGCUUGCCCCUUUUCCACUCUGCACCUCACUCCUUGACUGAUAUUCCUAGAUAUCAGUCUGAUAUUCAGACCCUUCCCUGUGGACUCCAAAGCCAACGCUCUUUCCUCUACACCAAACUGUUUAAAGACUUUGAUUUUGGAACUCUGCCUGGCCAAGGCCCUGAAAAUGGAUAAAACCUCAGAUUCCUCAAUAAUAUAACAGUACCAACCAUUUACUGAGCCCUUUUGGAAUAUCAAGAACCAGGGCUGGGACUAGGGUGAAGUGGGUGAAUCCUCCGUGGGUGCAGAAUUUAAAGAGAUACCUACAGGACUACAGAUGCCUCACCUGCCUCACCCUCAUCCAGGCCCUGCAAAGAACAGUGCCAUAUAGUCUGUUUGCAUCUACUCCCUACAUCCUCAAACAACCCUGCAGUGGUAAGUGCUAGUAUUCUUAGUUUACAGACGAGGAAGCAGGAUCAGAGAGGUGAAGUUACUUAACCAAGUAAUAAGCUGGCAUGUGAGACAAAGACUGUUCAUGCUCCGUCUGUGUGCUUAAUCAGUGGUUCCCAACUCUAGUGGGUCAGAACUACCUGGAAGGUUGGUUAAAACACUGAUGGCUGGGCGCCAUCCUACAAUAACUGAUUCAGUAGGUCUGCUGUGUGGGUAGGAGAGUUUGCAUUUCUCACAAGUUCCCAGGUGGCGCUAAUGCUGCUGGUCUAAGGACCACACUUCGAGAACCACUGCACUAUAUGUCAUACUUUUUUUUCUCUGUAACCUUUGUUCAUCAGAUCCCAGGGGCACAAAGAUUCUAAGAGUAAAAAAAGAGAAGUCUGAGAAAACACUGCCAGAUCCUUCUAGUUUGUGAAAGGAAAGAAAGCAUCAACUUCUCAGGACAGGACCAAGAGUUUCUAUGUCAUCCAUGAGUGUGUUGGAGCCCCAACCCCAUUCCAGAAGGCUUCACACAAAAUCAGCGAGCAGUUAUGACUUGAAUUGUGGGGUGAACUGACUGGUCGUGAUGGGGCCUCUGUAGAGACUUAUUCAUCCUGAAAGAAUGCCUGACAUUUAUUCUGAAAGGCGUCUUUCUAUAGACCCUCAAUCCUUGUAGCACAAAAUGGCACUUUUUUCUAAAUAUAUUUCAAAUGUUUUCUAAUUUAUUCUUAGACAUCUAUAUCAAGGGGACAUGGUACAUCACUUUUUCAAGUCUUUGAGUAAGAGCCAUUGCAAAAUAAUAAGGGGAAGGGGGAAUCAACACAGAGCUAUUCACCAUGUUAUUAAAAAAAAAAAAGUAAACUUAAACCAGUUUUGGCAAAAUCUCCAAACUCUGACCAUGUGACAACAUUCCAGAGUUGACCCUCGUGUCUGAGGAGUUAAAUUUUUCUUUAAGCUCCCAAAUCUUUGGACCCUAAAACCCUCUUCCAGCUGCAUUUGGCCCAAAAGUGCAAUAAGGAAAAAGCUGAUUUUAUUCAUUUACUUGAAUUUUAUGGUGAGUAUCACAAGCCCCCAUGGCAGGAAUUCACAGCCUUGGCUGCACACUGGAGUCACUUGGAGAGUUUCUAAGAAUCCCUUCACCUCUGGCCAUGCCUGAGACCAAGCACUUCAGAAUCUCUGGGAGUGGGAUUAGGCAUGAGUGUUUUUGAAACCCUCCAGGUGAGACUAGGGGCAGCCAGGACCAAGAAAGCCCGGCUUCAGGGAGAGCGAAUUCUUAGUGCAUCCCUACAGUCUUCUUCUGAUUUUAUACAUUCUGUACAUAUGGACAAGGUCCCUUCCCAAAGCGUGGUACCAAUUUACACCAUCGUGGUGAAUAUAGGCAUAAACUCCACCUUGGUGCCUUUGCCUGCAUUGCUUGCUUGCUGCAAUCUCCCUCCCGAUUUGAUUCAUGUAGAACGUUGCUGUGAUUGACUAGAGAUGAACACAGAUUCUUUUCUGUCUCUCCCAUUGAGCAACAGAGUCUAAUUCCCUGCCCUUGAACCUGGACUGGACUUAGUGACGUUUUGACCAAUAGUUUGUGAUGGAGGAGAUGUUCUGAAACUUCUGAGCUAAGUUGCUAGAAGUCUUGCAGCUUUUGGCUAGUUAUCUCUGAAGGCUUGCUCUGGGAGAUGCCACCUGCCAACAUGAGUCAGCCAACCACUCCAGGGACACUGCCACACUAGAGAAGCCUAAUGCAGGAGCAGUGGUCAACACAAGCAGCUGAGCCCAUUCUACCAGCCUCCCCAGGCAUCAGACGUAUGAAGGAACCCUUGGAUCCUCUAGACUCAUUUUCCAGCCAAAUACCACUGAGUGCCCUGAGAGGCCAUGAAAAGCAAAAGCAUUUCUCAGCUGAGCCCUGCCAAAAUUCUUGACCCAUAAAAUCGUGAUCGUGAAAUACAAUAAAAUGGUUUUUGUUUGAAGCUGCUAAAUUUUAGGAUAUAUUGUUGCACAACAAUAGAUAACUGGGAUAGGUGCCCUUAUGUUUCCUUUUUAAAAAUUUUUUUAAUGUUUAUUUUUUAUUUUCGAGAGAGAGAGUGUGUGUGCACACACAUGCACGGGAGGAGCAGAGAGAAAGACAGAGAAUCUGAAGCAGGCUCCAGGCUCUAAGCUGUCAGCACAGAACCCAGCGCAGGGCUCAAACCCAUGAGCUGUG